AGAGGAGCACCUGCAGCAUAUGGAAGUGCCCAGGCUAGGGGUUUAAUCAGAGCUACAGCUGCCGGCCUACACCACAGCCACAGCAACACCAGACCCGAGCCAUGUCUGCUACCUACACAGCUCAUGGCAACGCCGGAUCCUUUAGCCCACUGAGCAAGGCCAGAGAUCAAACCCACAACCUCGUGGUUCCUAGUCAGAUUCGUUUCUGCUGCACCACAAUGGGAACUCCAAUUUUAUCACUUUUAUUUCACAAAUAGAGAUGAUGGAGCUAGAAAGUUGUGGAAUUGGGAUUGUAUUCAAGUGCCUCUCAUUCCAAAGGCCAUAUCUGAGCAGUUCAUAAUGAGGGGCAGUGCUCAGCUAUGCCCAUCUAAGGAGUAUAACUAGUUUCUGCAAUAUUAAGUCAAGAUUAGCUCUAACUGCUGGAGAAGAGUGCUACAACACAAAUUUCACAAUACACAAAGAUACACACACACACACACACACACACACACAGUUUUCAAAUGAUGUAAAACAUCUAUUAAAACUAAUCUCUUGUGGAGCUUCAGUUACUCAUUAGGCAUAUCACCACUCACAAACCAAGAGAACUGCAAUGUAUAAUUACCUCAAGGAUGCUUUUCCCUGAAAAUGGCCUGUUGUGAUGCUAAAAGUGAUUAACAGACUAAGAGUGUGGUGAAUCUUCUUGAUAUCACUUCAGAAAAGUGAUUUCCUCCCUAAUAAUUCCCAAGAUACAUAAAUAUUCAAUUAGGGGCUUUGAAAUCUACUUUCAAUUGGGCAGUCAUAUUCUACCAAACCUCAGACUUGGCCCAGGCUAAGAAGGUGUUUUAGGAAUUCUUACUAUACCCCACCCCAAAAAAAUCCCAAUAACUCUUCAUGAGUUUUCAAGUGGAAGGGUAAAAUGAAGCCAAGAGGAUUUUUUUUAUGAAAUUUUCAAAUUUAAUAACAUUUUAAGACAUGCUCUCAAGAAAUGAGGUAAAACAAUUGCAUAUCUGAAUCACAUAUUCGCUUGGGGAAUUGACUAAAGUUUCCUGAGACCCUCAUGAGACCUAAUAAAUAAUAAUGACAGCAGAAAAUUGUUACAAUCCUAUUAUUAUGUGCCUGGAACUGUUUUAAACACGCUGCAUAUAUUUUUCCAUUAAAUUUUCACAACAACCUAUAGAUUAGGUACAUGUGUUAUACCCAUUAAAAUGUAUCAGGAAAUUGAGGGAGGCAUAGAGAGAUCCAGUAUCUUGCCCAAAGUCAAAUAACUUAUCAUACCUCAGCAAAUACAUCAGAGUCAUGUCUCUUCACCACCACACCAUUCCUACUCUCCAGGUACCAGAAUAUCAAGACCUGGGGCCUAGAUUUUAAAUUUCCCCAGAAGCAUCAUGAUGGAGACCUGCAGUUUAAAACUGCUGUUUCACUAAUUGAGGACCAAAAAUAGAAAAAACAAGCUUUCUGCAUUGGGAACAGAAAAAUGAACAUGUCAAAUAAUGAAUAAAAUACCCAUCCAUUGUGUGUCUUUUUACAGCUUGAGCGAUCUACUUGUUUUCUCAUCCUGGAUGGCUCGUCAUAUGGUCCUAUGGGGUGAACUUUGAGUACAAGCAGGCAAAUCUUGAAAAGUCAACAUCAGUGGUUCUCAAAUUCUCUGGUUCUAGGACCCUUUAACCCACUUGAAAAUUGAAACCUAAAGGAACUUUUUUAUUACAUUGGUUAUAACAAUCAAUAUUUAUAUAUUAAUAGUAAAACUGCUAAAAUUUUAAGACAUAAAAAUACACCAGCACACACACCAUGUGUCCUCAAAGCAAUGAUGCCAAAGACAUAUCAUGUACCUUCUGGAAAACUUCCUUGUACACAUGUUAAAGUAUGACAGUGAAAGGUAAAACAUCUUAGCAUUAUUAUGAAAAUGUUUUCUUCUCAUAGACCUUUUAAAAGGUCUCAAAGACCCACAGAUUUUCCCACAACACACUUUGAGAGGACUGUCUGCUCUGCAGAAUAACUGACAGAAAAGUUUUACCAGAGAGUAAUAUUUAGCUGGUUGAUUUAAUUUUCCAUCACAGAGAUAAUGUUCACAACAAUUAGGAUAACCACCAAGAUUCCAUUGAAGUUCUUGAAUAAUAUGGACCAAAUAUUAACUUAUAACAUACAUAUAUAACCACUCUCACUAAGAAAUUCAUUAAUAUUAAAUUCUUUUUUUAAGUGUCAAUAAGACAUUAGUAAGAAAUAAAUCAUUAAGAACUACUGGAUCUGUUAUGAUUAAAUGUAGGAGAAACCCAACCAUCUCACCCACUCCCUAAAACAAAUGAAGAAUUUAAAUGAAUUCAGAGUAGAACAGCUAAUAUGUGUUUAUAUUUGUAUUUGUGAGUGCAUGAGCACUCUUAACAAUUCUAAGGAAAAAAAUGACACCUGACUACUUAUGCGGUAGAAGAGUUAAUUUUCUUGGGCCACACAGACACUCAGAUCAGGUAAUGACGUUAAAAUAUUUGGGGGCAAAAUGCACAUCUUUGGUCUCAUAAAUGCUAUUCAUAGACAUGUUUGCACUACUCUCUUAUACUGACUAGUAAGCAUCAAUAUCAAAAUCACAAUCAACAAAAAAUCUGGAUUUUUCUUCCCAUUGAUCAACAAAUACACAGCUGCACACAGAGACACACAUGCACACACCGAAAAGGAAGGAAAAUUUUCAGGAGGCCCUUACUCAUAUUUGAAUGUUUAGUUUACAUUUUAUUAUAAAAUAGGGUAUUCUAUAUAGAAAUUCAUUUGCAUAAAAGAAAAAGACAUAAAUGCAAUAGUAAUCUAAGCAUAAAUAUGUCCUUGAAGGCAAAUAAAUGCUAAAUUACAACACAGCCUCUGUCUUUAGGGUUCCUCUCUCUGUGAGCAACUGCAUUUAUUUUGCAUGUAAUGCAAAUCUAAGAAAUCAAAGGGAAAAUAGCCAUUUGCAAAACUUAAGGAAAGAUCAUCUCCCUCUAAUUUCAACUGCUCUAGCCAUUCACACCAUGCUAAAUUGAGGCUGCAUGGCAUUGCUCAAACUCCCUCUUUGUUUUUAAAUACACAAUCAGUUUUCCCUGCUGAUUUCUGGGCAAAAAUGCCCCACUUCUAAAAGUGACUGUCACUCCUACUUGGCAGCUCUUUUCAAGGAGAGUUUCAACCAGUAGUUAAAGAGGUCCAAAUGAAAUCUGAAAAACAACUCAGUUUAGCAUUACAUUGUUUGAUUGUCUGAUUGACUUCAUUCUUUUGAUUUGAUAACCUUUUUGAUCUUCUAUUUAGGAUUAGUUUGGCGAUAGCUCACCAAGGGAUUGAAAGGAAAACCAGUCCAUAAAAAUUUUGCCUUUUCUAAUUACUAGAAACAAUGCCAGGCACAGUAGCUGGAGCCAGUAAGUCUCAUACUCACUAUUAUUCCCUGUGGAAAGGAAUAUUUAAAUCUCCGAAAUGCAAGAGGAUCAUCAGCAAGAAAAUCAUUUCUAAAAGACCUUCCAUUCACAUUUUCGUGACGGGCUCUCAAUCAGCAGGAUAAUCACACCAAGCAACUUAAAAUGAGACAUCAAAAGCAUUUAACCAUCAAGCAAAUCAUAUGCUGCUUAUCACUCUACAGGCCAGGGUGCCUGGAGCAGCCUAACAUGCCUAUCGAAAAAAUUUCAAUAGUUCAUAUAAACCUUUAUACUAAUCAUGCCUCCUACCCCAAGUUUAUAGAGCUAGUCCAGUCAACCAAUACACCAAUGGAGCAGAUUAUUGAACAUUUGGUUAUGAAGUGCUAGGGAAUGCAUUUGAGCACUUCUGAUACAUUCACCUUCAGCUAAAGACAGCCCAAUACACUGACAGACACAGUUCUAAUGACAUCAGGACCUGUGGAAUGUAUGACUGCUAGGAAACACAUGCUGCUAGGAAACAAAGAACAGAUCUGAUCAAAUCUUCUAACAAUAAGGAUUGGGAAUCACUGUGACUAGAUCUUCUAAAAUAAGAAGGCAAGUAUUCUUUAAUCUUCAGAUAUACUGCAAGUACAAAGAUUUUAACACACACCCUCUGGAAAGGGAAGAAACAAAGCUAGAUUCUCAAGGGUAAAAUCACAAUUCCCCAAGUUUUCUAUUAAGAUGACUGCCACUAGCACUAUCCCAUAAAAUGUAACAAUCAAAAUCAGGCAUCAAUGAUUGAGUAUUUUUUUGGCAAUCUAAGCUUUUUCAAUAAGUCAAGAUCUUAAAAUUGAAAGAAAUGUAGAAUUCAUGGCACCCAGAAACAAAGUACCCUUUUACAUUUACAGUGAUAUACUUUUUUCAACAACAACAACAAAAAUAGCCAUUUGCAAAAAACACUAAAGCAGUCAGAGCUAAUCUUCAGUUAAGGAAUUUAAUGUCUUUUUAAUUAUUAAAACUGAAAAGCAAUUUAGUUUUCCAACUUUUUAAAGCUGUUUAUCUUUGUACAUUUUUAACCCUUGGUUACCAAAAGAAAAAAGAAAAAAUUGAAUGAAACAAAGGUGAGAGAGAUUUCAAUACAAAUAUCCUUUUAACUUUUACACAAAUUAUGUGGAAAUCUCUUUUGCUGACACUAAAAAAGAGCUGACAACUCUGUCUGUAAUCCACGGACCAACAAACUGGGCUCCAGAAUGCCAGGCCACUGAGUACCAUUACAGACUAUCAAAUACACCAGGGAAAUCUAGAUGAAUUCUAUUUACUCUCAUAACGAAAUAAAGUGCAUUCUCCAAAUGAAAAAUUACUAAAGAACUGUUUCUUGUAGAUUCUGCAAUGACAUUCUUUAGUAUUGAUAGUCCACAUGACGCUAAAUUAGCAGACCGCCUAUUUACUUCAGAGCAAAACACAUAAGGUAAUUUUUCCUUCCUGCCAGAGUCGAUGUGUCUCCUCAUUUCCCCAGCAGCUGGCUGAAAGGAUGUAGAAUCAGAGGUGCAAGAAGGCUUAUACUUCCUCAUGAGUAAUCCACCCAGGAAAGUAAACACAACAGACAUCACCAGGUUCGGCCCUAAAGGAGACUGUGGCAGGGCUGCUUACACCGUUGUUUACAAUGUGCUCUAACUACCGCAGGCAGAAUCACACACAGGCACAGGGAGGAGACACCCAGAGGUGGCUCGCACGCCUCGAGUUAGCCCAAUUGCUAUGAUAUCUCUGGCCAUAAAUAAAGUAACGCACGUUUCUAUCGGAAAGUGGCCAAAGAAUUCCAGAGACCAGAGCUUAUGCUGACUUGACUUUGUUAUUUCAAUCUGCCCAAGAGAAGACUCUAUCCCUUGGUCCUCAUCAGGGGCAAUUAUGGGUGCAUCGUACGCUGCACCAGAGACUCACGCGCCGCACGCAUCUCGCGGAGGUGCUCACUACGGGAGAGGGGACACAGUGAGGCUUCCUCAUAACCUCUAUCGCGCUCCCGGGCCUCCUCAAACCAGGUUUUCCAGUUAAGCGGAUCCCAAGCGAUUUUGAUAAGCAAGCUCAGCUCAAGUAGCAUCAGCUGUGCCAUCCCCGCAAAUAUCUCUGGGCCACCCCCCGGGCGCACGAACGCGCACACACAGACACUCACACGCCAAUCCCGCUGCCAACUAACCCUGGUAGCAGAGGUUCCGCCUCCUGCAUACACACCCACCCACCUAUAACUGCUAGGGGGCCUGACGCGUUUAACCCCCAAGCUCCGACCUGGGACCGCCGGCUGGCGCGCGGCGGCACCGACACUUCGCUGCAGCCCGGAUCCUCCCCUUCUCCCGUGAGAAGACGAGGGGUGCCUGCCUUCCUACCUGUACCCCAGCCGACCGCGGCCACCAGUGCUCUGCCCACCCCUCCCCGGUGCCCAGACCACCCCGAUUCGUGCAACACCGCCCCCAACCCCGUGCCCACUUCCAACACCGCGCCGCCCCGGGCCACCCACGAAAGUGGCAGCUUUCUCCAGCCGAAACCGCCUAACAAAGCCCGAGCAAGCAGAUCCAAACCAACCGCCGUGAAGGGGACACAACGGGCGGGGUGUGGGGAAGGAGCUUGGCUC
RNAcentral lists this long non-coding RNA (5943 nucleotides) under Sus scrofa (pig). Its description in RNAcentral is "lncRNA (ENSSSCG00040029690.1)". Lineage: Eukaryota; Metazoa; Chordata; Mammalia; Artiodactyla; Suidae. The record is from RNAcentral.